UACGUAGGGGGCGAGCGUUGUCCGGAUUUAUUGGGCGUAAAGAGCUUGUAGGCGGUUUGUCGCGUCUGCUGUGAAAUCUCAAGGCUCAACCUUGAGCUUGCAGUGGGUACGGGCAGACUAGAGUGUGGUAGGGGAGACUGGAAUUCCUGGUGUAGCGGUGAAAUGCGCAGAUAUCAGGAGGAACACCGAUGGCGAAGGCAGGUCUCUGGGCCACUACUGACGCUGAGGAGCGAAAGCAUGGGGAGCGAACAGG
This 253-nucleotide ribosomal RNA is filed under the name uncultured bacterium. RNAcentral's name for it is "partial 16S ribosomal RNA". It matches the Rfam family "Bacterial small subunit ribosomal RNA", at positions 524 to 776 of the family's 1533-position model. The record is from RNAcentral.